UGGGGAAUUUUGGACAAUGGGCGCAAGCCUGAUCCAGCCAUACCGCGUGAGUGAAGAAGGCCUUCGGGUUGUAAAGCUCUUUCAGACGGAAAGAAGCGGUUACGGCUAAUACCCGUGACUAAUGACGGUACCGUAAGAAGAAGCACCGGCUAACUACGUGCCAGCAGCCGCGGUAAUACGUAGGGUGCGAGCGUUAAUCGGAAUUACUGGGCGUAAAGCGUGCGCAGGCGGUUUGGUAAGACAGAUGUGAAAUCCCCGGGCUUAACCUGGGAACUGCAUUUGUGACUGCCAGACUAGAGUGUAGCAGAGGGGGGUAGAAUUCCACGUGUAGCAGUGAAAUGCGUAGAUAUGUGGAGGAAUACCAAUGGCGAAGGCAGCCCCCUGGGCUAACACUGACGCUCAUGCACGAAAGCGUGGGGAGCAAACAGGAUUAGAUACCCAGUAGUCCCUGAGCGGGCUGGCAAGGCGCAU
RNAcentral lists this ribosomal RNA (471 nucleotides) under uncultured bacterium. RNAcentral's name for it is "bacterial SSU rRNA". It matches the Rfam family "Bacterial small subunit ribosomal RNA", at positions 355 to 825 of the family's 1533-position model. The record is from RNAcentral.